UGGAUCUUGUUCAGAGCUACCAGUGUCAGGAAUAUUUCCUUUCACAAAAUAUUCCAGAAUGGUGGCUUAAGUUUUGCCUUUUCUUUGGUCAGAUAAACGUUCAUAUUUCAGUUGAUUCCAAGGGUAGAGCCAGUCUCUUUGGAUUGCAGGUGAAAUGGACAAGCGCAAGAACAGAUGAAAACAAUUACACAAUUGCCCAAAAUCGGUACAAAUUUAUUUUGCCAAGGUAGGAAGUUCCAGGAUUUUGAACUACUGAUGAAAACAGUAUACACUGUAUAUGCCCAAACCAGGAUGGUGUGUGACUGGAGGACAGCCUGGAAUGAUGGUUUUCCAAUAUAUCCUACUGCUUUUCUGUUUCAAGUUGGUGGAGAUCACUUACUUGGAAAAUGCUGCUGAGGAAAUCCUGGGGAUAUGCUCCAACACAUAGAAUCAUGCAGCACAGAAACAGACCCUUCAAUCCAACUCGUCCAUGCCAACUAAGUUUUCCAAA
This is a non-coding RNA of Chiloscyllium plagiosum (whitespotted bambooshark), 490 nucleotides long. Lineage: Eukaryota; Metazoa; Chordata; Chondrichthyes; Orectolobiformes; Hemiscylliidae. The record is from RefSeq and is a predicted model, not a curated record.